This 264-nucleotide ribosomal RNA is filed under the name Giardia sp. 5679_2. Its description in RNAcentral is "partial small subunit ribosomal RNA". Lineage: Eukaryota; Fornicata; Diplomonadida; Hexamitidae. The record is from RNAcentral.
UGCCGGAAUCCGACGCUCUCCCCAAGGACACAAGCCAUGCAUGCCCGCGCACCCGGGAGGCGGCGGACGGCUCAGGACAACGGUUGCACCCCCCGCGGCGGUCCCUGCUAGCCGGACACCGCUGGCAACCCGGCGCCAAGACGUGCGCGCAAGGGCGGGCGCCCGCGGGCGAGCAGCGUGACGCAGCGACGGCCCGCCCGGGCUUCCGGGGCAUCACCCGGUCGGCGCGGUCGCGGCGCGCCGAGGGCCCGACGCCUGGCGGAG